GGGGGCAUAGCUCAGUGGUCAGAGCAGGCGGCUCAUAACCGCUUGGUCGCUGGUUCGAGCCCAGCUGCCCCCACCA
This 76-nucleotide transfer RNA is filed under the name Candidatus Saccharimonadota bacterium. RNAcentral describes it as "tRNA-Ile". It matches the Rfam family "tRNA". From Rfam's summary of the family: Transfer RNA (tRNA) molecules are approximately 80 nucleotides in length. Lineage: Bacteria; Candidatus Saccharimonadota. The record is from RNAcentral.